AAGGCGCGCUUUGAGACCCACCGCCUCGCAGCAGUGGGCGCGUGGGUGCAUCAGCGCCCCGAGA
Molecule: small nucleolar RNA, 64 nt
Filed under: Trypanosoma rangeli
Lineage: Eukaryota; Euglenozoa; Kinetoplastea; Trypanosomatida; Trypanosomatidae
Description: Trypanosomatid snoRNA TB11Cs4H2
Rfam family: Trypanosomatid snoRNA TB11Cs4H2
Source: Rfam by way of RNAcentral